This 445-nucleotide ribosomal RNA is filed under the name Terrahaemophilus aromaticivorans. RNAcentral describes it as "bacterial SSU rRNA". It matches the Rfam family "Bacterial small subunit ribosomal RNA", at positions 30 to 474 of the family's 1533-position model. The record is from RNAcentral. Lineage: Bacteria; Pseudomonadati; Pseudomonadota; Gammaproteobacteria; Pasteurellales; Pasteurellaceae.
AUUGAACGCUGGCGGCAGGCUUAACACAUGCAAGUCGAACGGUAACAUAAAGAAGCUUGCUUCUUUGAUGACGAGUGGCGGACGGGUGAGUAAUGCUUGGGAAUCUGGCUUAUGGAGGGGGAUAACUACGGGAAACUGUAGCUAAUACCGCGUAGAAUCGGGAGAUGAAAGUGUGGGACCUUCGGGCCACAUGCCAUAGGAUGAGCCCAAGUGGGAUUAGGUAGUUGGUGAGGUAAAGGCUCACCAAGCCGACGAUCUCUAGCUGGUCUGAGAGGAUGACCAGCCACACUGGGACUGAGACACGGCCCAGACUCCUACGGGAGGCAGCAGUGGGGAAUAUUGCGCAAUGGGGGCAACCCUGACGCAGCCAUGCCGCGUGAAUGAAGAAGGCCUUCGGGUUGUAAAGUUCUUUCGGUAGCGAGGAAGGCAUUUAGUUUAAUAGACU